GAUGAACGCUGGCGGCGUGCUUAACACAUGCAAGUCGAACGGUGAAGGCGGAGCUUGCUCUGCUGGAUCAGUGGCGAACGGGUGAGUAACACGUGAGCAAUCUGCCCCUGACUCUGGGAUAAGCGCUGGAAACGGCGUCUAAUACUGGAUACGAGCUGCUAAGGCAUCUUCAGCAGCUGGAAAGAAUUUCGGUCAGGGAUGAGCUCGCGGCCUAUCAGCUUGUUGGUGAGGUAAUGGCUCACCAAGGCGUCGACGGGUAGCCGGCCUGAGAGGGUGACCGGCCACACUGGGACUGAGACACGGCCCAGACUCCUACGGGAGGCAGCAGUGGGGAAUAUUGCACAAUGGGCGAAAGCCUGAUGCAGCAACGCCGCGUGAGGGACGACGGCCUUCGGGUUGUAAACCUCUUUUAGCAGGGAAGAAGCGAAAGUGACGGUACCUGCAGAAAAAGCGCCGGCUAACUACGUG
Molecule: ribosomal RNA, 468 nt
Filed under: uncultured bacterium
Lineage: Bacteria
Description: partial 16S ribosomal RNA
Rfam family: Bacterial small subunit ribosomal RNA
Source: RNAcentral